UUAAUAAAAAAUAUAAUGUUAUAUCGUGAGGUAUGCAAUCAGUAUGUAAUAACUCAUAUAUUGUAGUUCAGGAAUAACCUGUGGAGUACACGAAUAAGUGGUAGUCCAAUUUUACAUAUUCCUCUUUUCCACGCACUCUUAACUAACCCACAACCUACCAAAAUAAAUUUGGCUUUGAUUGUCUUAAUUGCCAACAUGCCCCAACGAAUGAGCUGGACAACGCUCCAUUGGUUUCUUUUGUUAGAAAAACUGCACUGAACACCUCAUGCUUUCUCUACAGGUAAAUCUAAUUCUGAGUCCAAAGCUCUAGGAAUUCAUCAAUAACAAACUUCUCAUACAUAGCUCUAGGAAUCCAUCAAUAACAAACUUCUCAUAUAUCUCACAAUGCACAUACAAAAUCCCAGCUACCGAAAACUCACCAAAAACAUCAUUAAACUUCAAAUCCAUAAACUUCAUCGGAAAAACAAACAAUAAAAUAAAAACAUACCGGCAUCAUCAUCAUCCAUGUCAUUAGUUUCUUCUUCAGAGUGAAAUCGUUUCAGAAUGUCGAGAUUUUUCUGUUUCGUUUCAUCAUGGGCCCCAAUUGCCCCAGCUCCCCACCACAUUCUCGCGCAUAAACAAUUCGGUACACCUGAGACUGCUCAAUCAAAUGAAAUCACAGAACAAUCAAACACAAAAUCACAACAAAAAUAAAUAAAAUAAAAUAAAUCUGUACAAAUUUGCAUACGUACCUUAUAGCAGUGCAGCGGUAGUGUGAGUUUCAUCAGGGAUAUGUGUACUGCAAAAAGUAAAGAUAACAAAUUUAUCAAUCUUAAAUUCUUUACCUUGGCUUUUGAUUGAAUAAAAUCAUCUAAAUUAAGAGGCCUUAACUCCUCCAAUUGGAUUUAUCUCUUAUUGGUAUGGGGGUAUGAACUGUGAUAGGAAGUGUAAAUUUAAAAUGGUGAUUGAAUCACCCAUUUAUUAAUGGAACCUAGAGAAGAAAAAAAAAAACGCAGAGAGAGAGAAUGGUCCAUAUGGCUACAGAGAAGCUGGGAGAAAAUUAAC
RNAcentral lists this long non-coding RNA (1044 nucleotides) under Malus domestica (apple). RNAcentral describes it as "long non-coding RNA (MDOM_LNC011174)". The record is from RNAcentral. Lineage: Eukaryota; Viridiplantae; Streptophyta; Magnoliopsida; Rosales; Rosaceae.